AAGCAUCCCAUAGACAACGUUAAUGUAGCUUAAUUAAAGCAAAGCACUGAAAAUGCUUAGAUGGAUG
This 67-nucleotide transfer RNA is filed under the name Neodon bomiensis (Bomi mountain vole). RNAcentral's name for it is "Neodon sp. bo BGI-2019 tRNA-Phe". The stretch from base 19 to 67 matches the Rfam family "tRNA", at positions 1 to 51 of the family's 71-position model. Rfam says of the family: Transfer RNA (tRNA) molecules are approximately 80 nucleotides in length. Their secondary structure includes four short double-helical elements and three loops (D, anti-codon, and T loops). Further hydrogen bonds mediate the characteristic L-shaped molecular structure. tRNAs have two regions of fundamental functional importance: the anti-codon, which is responsible for specific mRNA codon recognition, and the 3' end, to which the tRNAs corresponding amino acid is attached (by aminoacyl-tRNA synthetases). tRNAs cope with the degeneracy of the genetic code in two manners: having more than one tRNA (with a specific anti-codon) for a particular amino acid; and 'wobble' base-pairing, i.e. permitting non-standard base-pairing at the 3rd anti-codon position. Lineage: Eukaryota; Metazoa; Chordata; Mammalia; Rodentia; Cricetidae. The record is from RNAcentral.